GCCUGGGUGGCUCAGUCAGUUGAGCAUCUGACUUCAGCUCAGGUCAUGAUCUCACGGUUUGUGGGUUCGAGCCCCGCAUUGGGCU
RNAcentral lists this transfer RNA (85 nucleotides) under Felis catus (domestic cat). It matches the Rfam family "tRNA". Rfam says of the family: Transfer RNA (tRNA) molecules are approximately 80 nucleotides in length. Lineage: Eukaryota; Metazoa; Chordata; Mammalia; Carnivora; Felidae. The record is from Rfam by way of RNAcentral.